Eremothecium gossypii ATCC 10895 is the source of this 595-nucleotide small nuclear RNA. RefSeq annotates it as AgSNR20. NCBI's taxonomy places the organism in Eukaryota, Fungi, Ascomycota, Saccharomycetes, Saccharomycetales, Saccharomycetaceae. The transcript has a single exon. The record is from RefSeq.
CAAAUCUCUUUGCCUUUUGGCUUAGAUCAAGUGUAGUAUCUGUUCUUUUCAGUGUAACAACUGAAAUGUCCUCAAUGAGGAUAUUAUUACUGUUACAACAAUAUUUUUGGAACUAAAUAGGUCCCCCGACGUGCUUAUGCCGACGGGGGGCCGAGCCCAGGGCGGCCAGGUGGAGGCGCUGUGCUAGUGGGAGCCGUGUGUGAGAGAUAUGGUACCGUGGUUCUGCUUUGGUGGUGUCCGCUGUGCGUGAUCCCGUUCGGGGGGCGGGGCGGAGGGGAGGCGUGAGCUGUAACAUGGACGGGCUUGCUCGUCCUUCCCUUCCUUGGUGUCCUGCUUCCUGGGAUUGCGUGGGCGCCGCCGGCGUGGCUCUUGCGCGACCUAUGUUAUCGGCUAAACAUUGGGUCCACCCUAAGCUAGUGCAGGGUUCUGUGUCUGGCUCGACGUGCCGCAGCCAUUGCACUACCGGCAGCCGUGCGCUGUCACUGCCCUGGGCUUCCCCUUCUUUUGAGCGCGGGAAAUGAGGCCAUUUCUCGAGUUGAAAAGCUGAGCACGUUAUUAAAUGUCGUUAGAUACUGCUGAGAGUACUUUUUAGUUU